GCAGCCUGCAACUCGGCUGCAUGAAGCCGGAAUCGCUAGUAAUCGCGGAUCAGAACGCCGCGGUGAAUACGUUCCCGGGUCUUGUACACACCGCCUGUCACACCAUGGGAGUCGGAAAUGCCCGAAGUCAGUGACCUAACCGAAAGGGAGGAGCUGCCGAAGGUGGAGCCGGUAACUGGGGUGAAGUCGUAACAAGGUAAC
This 201-nucleotide ribosomal RNA is filed under the name uncultured bacterium. RNAcentral's name for it is "partial 16S ribosomal RNA". It matches the Rfam family "Bacterial small subunit ribosomal RNA", at positions 1300 to 1500 of the family's 1533-position model. The record is from RNAcentral.